Molecule: long non-coding RNA, 207 nt
Organism: Gigantopelta aegis
Lineage: Eukaryota; Metazoa; Mollusca; Gastropoda; Neomphalida; Peltospiridae
Exons: 3
Source: RefSeq, a predicted model, not a curated record
UACGAAGAAACAGACGGCGACGACGACGACGGGGACGAAAAGGAAGAGUAAGCAAAUCACGUCGACGAAAUCUACGAAGAAACAGACGGCGACGACGACGACGGGGACGAAAAGGAAGAGUAAGCAAAUCACGUCGACGAAAUCUACGAAGAAACAGACGGCGACGACGACGACGGGGACGAAAAGGAAGAGUAAGCAAAUCACGUG